Pelobates cultripes (western spadefoot toad) is the source of this 286-nucleotide non-coding RNA. Lineage: Eukaryota; Metazoa; Chordata; Amphibia; Anura; Pelobatidae. The record is from the annotation of a GenBank genome assembly.
UGUUAGUGUGUGUAUGUUAGUGUGUGUGUGUGGAUGUCUGUUAGUGUGUGUCUGUUAGUGUGUGUCUGUUAGUGUGUGUCUGUUAGUGUGUAUGUUAGUGUGUGUGUCUGUUAGUGUUAGUGUGUAUGUUAAUGUUAGUGUAUGUUAGUGUUAGUGUGGAUGUCUGUUAGUGUGUGUGUUUGCCUGUGAGUGUGUGUGUCUGUUAGUGAGUGUGUGAGUGUGUGUCUGUUAGUGACUGUGUGUUUCUGUUAGCUAGUGAAUGCGUAUCUGUCAGUGAAUGUGUGUG